AAGCGUGCGCAGGCGGUUUUGUAAGUCAGAUGUGAAAUCCCCGAGCUCAACUUGGGAACUGCGUUUGAAACUACAAGACUAGAAUAUGUCAGAGGGGGGUAGAAUUCCACGUGUAGCAGUGAAAUGCGUAGAGAUGUGGAGGAAUACCAAUGGCGAAGGCAGCCCCCUGGGAUAAUAUUGACGCUCAUGCACGAAAGCGUGGGGAGCAAACAGGAUUAGAUACCCUGGUAGUCCACGCCCUAAACGAUGUCUACUAGUUGUUGGUGGAGUAAAAUCCAUGAGUAACGCAGCUAACGCGUGAAGUAGACCGCCUGGGGAGUACGGUCGCAAGAUUAAAACUCAAAUGAAUUGACGGGGGCCCGCACAAGCGGUGGAUUAUGUGGAUUAAUUCGAUGCAACGCGAAAAACCUUACCUGGCCUUGACAUGUAACGAACUUUCCAGAGAUGGAUUGGUGCUCGAAAGAGAGCGUUAACACAGGUGCUGCAUGGCUGUCGUCAGCUCGUGUCGUGAGAUGUUGGGUUAAGUCCCGCAACGAGCGCAACCCUUGCCAUUAAUUGCCAUCAUUUAGUUGGGCACUUUAAUGGGACUGCCGGUGACAAACCGGAGGAAGGUGGGGAUGACGUCAAGUCCUCAUGGCCCUUAUGGCCAGGGCUUCACACGUAAUACAAUGGUCGGUACAGAGGGUUGCCAAGCCGCGAGGUGGAGCCAAUCCCAGAAAGCCGAUCGUAGUCCGGAUUGUAGUCUGCAACUCGACUACAUGAAGUCGGAAUCGCUAGUAAUCGCGGAUCAGCAUGUCGCGGUGAAUACGUUCCCGGGGCCUUGUACACACCGCCCGUCACACCAUGGGAGUGGGUUUUACCAGAAGUAGGGUAGUCUAACCUUUCGGGAGGACGCUUACCACGGUAGUAUUCAUGACUGGGGUGAAGUCGUAACAAGGUAA
Molecule: ribosomal RNA, 941 nt
Filed under: uncultured bacterium
Lineage: Bacteria
Description: bacterial SSU rRNA
Rfam family: Bacterial small subunit ribosomal RNA
Source: RNAcentral